RNAcentral lists this ribosomal RNA (911 nucleotides) under uncultured bacterium. RNAcentral's name for it is "bacterial SSU rRNA". It matches the Rfam family "Bacterial small subunit ribosomal RNA", at positions 33 to 937 of the family's 1533-position model. The record is from RNAcentral.
ACGCUAGCUACAGGCUUAACACAUGCAAGUCGAGGGGCAGCAUGGAAGAAGCUUGCUUCUUCUGAUGGCGACCGGCGCACGGGUGCGUAACGCGUAUCAAACCUGCCUCAUACUCGGGGAUAGCCUUGCGAAAGUAAGAUUAAUACCCGAUGUUGUUAUGUCACCGCAUGGUGAUAUAACCAAAGAUUUAUCGGUAUGAGAUGGUGAUGCGUCCGAUUAGGUAGUAGGCGGGGUAACGGCCCACCUAGCCUUCGAUCGGUAGGGGUUCUGAGAGGAAGGUCCCCCACACUGGAACUGAGACACGGUCCAGGCUCCUACGGGAGGCAGCAGUGAGGAAUAUUGGUCAAUGGACGGAAGUCUGAACCAGCCAAGUAGCGUGCAGGAUGACGGCCCUCCGGGUUGUAAACUGCUUUUAGUUGGGAAUAAAAAAGAGGACGUGUCCUCUAUUGUAUGUACCUUCAGAAAAAGGACCGGCUAAUUCCGUGCCAGCAGCCGCGGUAAUACGGAAGGUCCAGGCGUUAUCCGGAUUUAUUGGGUUUAAAGGGAGCGUAGGCGGAUUAUUAAGUCAGUGGUGAAAGACGGUGGCUCAACCAUCGUUAGCCAUUGAAACUGGUAGUCUUGAGUGCAGACAGGGAUGCUGGAACUCGUGGUGUAGCGGUGAAAUGCUUAGAUAUCACGAUGAACUCCGAUCGCGAAGGCAGGUGUCCGGGCUGCAACUGACGCUGAGGCUCGAAAGUGUGGGUAUCAAACAGGAUUAGAUACCCUGGUAGUCCACACAGUAAACGAUGUAUACUCGCGGUUUGCGAUACAAUGUAAGCCGCCAAGCGAAAGCAUUAAGUAUACCACCUGGGGAGUACGCCGGCAACGGUGAAACUCAAAGGAAUUGACGGGGGCCCGCACAAGCGGAGGAA